AUGUUGUUAGGAUGGAACAACGCCCUUACAAUACAACAAGAUGAGAAUGGAAGUACACCUCUCCACUUGGUUGCAUCUGUGCUAGGGCAAAGUGACCGACGGACUAUACGUAUACUUCUACUGAAAGCCAAUCCAGACGCAUUGUAUCAACCUGACAACAGUGGACUAUUCCCCAUACACGUGGCUGCAUCCGUGGAUGCAACACUUGCCAUCAGUGAUUUUCUUAAGAAGUCAUCAAGAUGUGCUGGUUUGCGCGAUGCUCGGGGAAGGACAUUUCUUCAUGUUGCAGUUGACAAAAUGAAAAUACGUACUGUCGGGUCUGCUUGCAGAAACCGAUCGUUAUCAUGGAUUUUUAAUAUGCAAGACAAAGAAGGAAACACUGCACUACACCUUGCUAUCCAGAAAGGGAGUCUGACGAUGUUUUGUGCUCUAUUCGGCAAUAGACAAGUAUCGUUAAAUUUAACAAAUGAGAAAGGUGAGACUGCACUAGAUAUAGCACGUUGCAAUGUUCCCGAAGGAGGACUGUAUUACAACCAGAACAGUGAAGUAAAAAUAGACCUCGCACUGAAAUUUGCUGGUGCUAAAUGCGGUAUUUCUCGCCGGGACUAUUUUGAAGAAAAUGAUAUUAUCCAAGAAAGACAGGAUGAUAAUAAAAACAAGGAGAUAGUGAAAGAGGGGACACAAACUCUAUGUAUUGGCUCUGUCCUAAUUGCAACCGUGACGUUUGGUGCAACUUUUGCCAUGCCUGGAGGUUAUAGAGCCGAUGAUCACAUUAAUGGAGGCACGCCAACACUUGCUGGAAGGUAUGCUUUUGAUGCAUUCACCCUGGCCAAUGCACUCGCCUUCACUUUUUCCACAAUGGCUACAAUUUCCCUCAUGGCUUCUGGAUCGUCCUUGUAUAAUCUUCGAAGCCGGAUCAUGCACCUAGGAACGGCCUUCUAUUUCAUUAAAAUUUCA
RNAcentral lists this ribosomal RNA (957 nucleotides) under Triticum aestivum (bread wheat). Its description in RNAcentral is "partial small subunit ribosomal RNA". The record is from RNAcentral. Lineage: Eukaryota; Viridiplantae; Streptophyta; Magnoliopsida; Poales; Poaceae.